GAUCUGAAAUCAGGUAGGGCUACCCGCUGAACUUAAGCAUAUCAAUAAGCGGAGGAAAAGAAACUAACAAGGAUUCCCCUAGUAACGGCGAGUGAAGCGGGAAGAGCUCAAAUUUAAAAUCUGGUUUGCUUUGCAAAUCCGAGUUGUAGUCUGAAGAAACGUUUUCCAUGAAAGCUGAGGCGCAAGUCCUUUGGAACAGGGCAUCAUAGAGGGUGAGAAUCCCGUCCAUGGUCUCAAGCCUUUCAUUUUGUGAUACGUUUUCUAAGAGUCAGGUUGUUUGGGAAUGCAGCCUAAAAUGGGUGGUAAAUUUCAUCUAAAGCUAAAUAUUGGCGAGAGACCGAUAGCGAACAAGUACCGUGAGGGAAAGAUGAAAAGAACUUUGAAAAGAGAGUUAAAAAGUACGUGAAAUUGUUGAAAGGGAACCGUUUGAAGCCAG
Molecule: ribosomal RNA, 436 nt
Filed under: uncultured fungus
Lineage: Eukaryota; Fungi
Description: eukaryotic LSU rRNA
Rfam family: Eukaryotic large subunit ribosomal RNA
Source: RNAcentral